AAACAAAAUGUGAGAGCCUGUAACACUAAUAUGAAAUGGUUUAAGAGUCUACUUGUAAAAUAAAUAAACUAAGAACAUGCUGUAUAUUAUAAUAUUGCCAAAUAAUAAAAAGUAAUUUGGAAAAAUUAAUAUAGAAAUUAAAAAAACCCAAAACCCGAAAGGUUCUUUCAAUGCUUUGAAGCUUUCGCAGCUCGUCUUCUUUUGGAAUUAUUUUGCUUUUUUCAACGAUUUCAGAUUCUGGCUUUUAGGGUUUUACGAUGAAUGAGAGAAAGACGAUUGAUCUUGAACAAGGAUGGGAGUUUAUGCAAAAAGGAAUUACAAAGUUGAAGAACAUUUUAGAAGGCUUGCCAGAGCCGCAAUUUAGCUCCGAGGAUUAUAUGAUGCUUUAUACAACAAUUUACAAUAUGUGUACCCAAAAGCCUCCUCAUGACUAUUCUCAGCAGUUGUAUGAUAAGUAUCGAGAAUCCUUUGAAGAGUACAUCACUUCAACAGUACUUCCUUCUUUACGAGAAAAGCAUGAUGAGUUUAUGUUGAGAGAGCUGGUCAAAAGGUGGAGUAAUCAUAAAGUAAUGGUUAGGUGGCUUUCUCGGUUCUUCCAUUACCUUGAUCGGUACUUUAUUGCUCGGAGGUCACUACCUCCCCUUAAUGAAGUUGGACUCACGUGUUUCCGAGAACUGGUUUACCAAGAGCUAAAUGCAAAAGUGAGAGAUGCUGUAAUUUCUCUGAUCGAUCAAGAACGUGAAGGUGAGCAGAUUGAUCGCGCUUUGUUGAAGAACGUUUUAUAUAUAUUUGUUGAAAUUGGAAUGGGGCAAAUGGAUUACUAUGAGAAUGACUUUGAGGCUACUAUGCUCAAAGAUACUGCUGCCUACUACUCGAGGAAGGCUGCAAAUUGGAUCGUGGAUGAUUCUUGUCCAGAUUACAUGUUGAAAUCCGAGGAAUGUUUAAAAUGUGAGAAGGAUAGGGUCUCCCAUUACUUGCAUUCUAGUAGUGAGCCAAAACUGCUUGAGAAAGUUCAACAUGAGUUGUUAUCUGUAUGGGAAACCCGACUUCUCGAUAAAGAGCACUCCGGCUGUCAUGCAUUGCUCAGAGACGACAAGGUGGAUGAUUUGUCAAGAAUGUUUAGACUCUUUUCUAAAAUUCCUCGAGGCUUAGAUCCCAUAUCAAGCAUUUUCAAACAGCAUGUUACUGCUGAAGGCACAGCUUUGGUCAAACAGGCUGAGGAUGCUGCAAGCACCAAAAAGGCUGAUAAAAAGGAUGUCGUUGGCAUGCAAGAGCAGGUUUUCGUGAGGAAAGUGAUUGAGCUGCAUGAUAAGUACCUAGCCUAUGUGAAUGAUUGUUUUCAAAAUCAUACUCUCUUUCACAAGGCUCUCAAGGAGGCUUUUGAAGUCUUUUGCAAUAAGGGUGUUAUUGGAAGCUCAAGUGCAGAGCUACUUGCCACUUUUUGUGAUAAUAUUCUCAAGAAAGGUGGCAGUGAGAAAUUGAGUGAUGAAGCAAUAGAAGAAACACUUGAAAAGGUUGUGAAGCUACUUGCUUAUAUUAGUGACAAAGACUUGUUUGCUGAAUUCUAUCGGAAAAAGCUUGCUCGAAGGCUUCUUUUUGACAAGAGUGCUAAUGAUGACCAUGAGAGAAGUAUAUUAACAAAGCUGAAACAGCAAUGUGGUGGUCAGUUCACCUCAAAAAUGGAGGGAAUGGUUACAGAUUUGACAUUGGCAAGGGAAAACCAGGCAAGUUUUGAGGAGUACUUGAGCAAUAAUCCGAACGCAAAUCCAGGGAUUGACUUGACAGUAACUGUUUUGACUACUGGAUUUUGGCCAAGUUACAAGUCUUUUGAUCUCAAUCUUCCUGCUGAGAUGGUCAAGUGUGUUGAAGUUUUCCGGGACUUCUACCAGACAAAAACCAAACACCGCAAACUUACUUGGAUAUAUUCUUUGGGCACUUGUAAUCUUAUUGGGAAGUUUGAACCAAAGACGAUGGAGUUGAUUGUCACAACAUAUCAGGCCUCUGCCUUAUUGCUGUUCAACUCCUCAGAUCGCCUGAGCUAUUCCGAGAUCAUGACACAAUUGAACUUAACGGAUGAUGACGUAAUUAGACUUUUGCAUUCGUUAUCUUGUGCGAAAUAUAAAAUCCUUAACAAGGAGCCAAGCACAAAAACCAUCUCUUCCACUGAUCAUUUUGAAUUCAACUCCAAGUUUACUGAUAAAAUGAGGAGGAUCAAGAUUCCUCUUCCCCCUCUGGAUGAGAAGAAGAAAGUAAUCGAAGAUGUUGACAAGGAUCGACGAUAUGCCAUUGAUGCCUCAAUUGUACGUAUCAUGAAGAGUCGGAAAGUUCUGGGUCACCAGCAGUUGGUUAUGGAGUGUGUUGAGCAAUUGGGCCGCAUGUUCAAGCCGGACUUCAAGGCCAUUAAAAAGCGAAUAGAAGACCUGAUUACUCGAGACUAUCUUGAGAGGGACAAAGAUAACCCCAAUACAUUCCGGUAUUUGGCAUGAUGUGACCUAGUCAUUAUCCUGUGACAAAGCAGUGACUGUUGCCGCUGCAAAUAACUCGAAGCAGCUGGAUAUGAUUGGUUCGUGACGAAAGUUGCAUACACAUAAUGAGAUGCUGCUGAGAUGCUUGUACAGUAGGAGCCAGGUUCUUUUGGGGCUUGGUGAAACAUUAGACUUUCGUUUUUUUUAAUUCGCUUUUUAUAUGUUUUGAUUGCGGGUGUGGUGACAUUUGGUUGUUGGUUCGGGAUAAGGGUGUGAGAAUAGUUUGAUUGUGGUUUUUCUUGGAUUAUGGUUUGGUCGAAGAAGAAAUGGUGAGUGAGUUCAGAAUGAAGGAUUAUCGAGUUGGUUGAGUUUAAACUGAUGCAUGGGGUUUACAGUGACUUUAUUAAGGUUUGGGGUUGAGUUAUUAUCAAUAUUGUUUGGAUUAUUAGAUUAGGGAGUAAUGGUACAAAGAUGGAGUGAUUAAAGUGUAAAUUUGUAAAUUUACUAAUAGUUCAGUGACCAAUUUAUAAAUUUCUGAGAUUGAGUGAUCAACUUGUAAACUUAUUACUAAUUGAAUGACUAAAUUGUAAAUUUACCUAUGCCAA
This is an RNA transcript of Gossypium arboreum, 3070 nucleotides long. It is a transcript of the gene named cullin-1, with no coding region annotated. NCBI's taxonomy places the organism in Eukaryota, Viridiplantae, Streptophyta, Magnoliopsida, Malvales, Malvaceae. The record is from RefSeq and is a predicted model, not a curated record. The transcript is spliced from 21 exons.